RNAcentral lists this ribosomal RNA (258 nucleotides) under uncultured bacterium. Its description in RNAcentral is "partial 16S ribosomal RNA". It matches the Rfam family "Bacterial small subunit ribosomal RNA", at positions 96 to 354 of the family's 1533-position model. The record is from RNAcentral.
UGGCGGACGGGUGAGUAACGCGUGGGUAACCUGCCCUGUACAGGGGGAUAACACUUAGAAAUAGGUGCUAAUACCGCAUAAGCGCACAGUAUCGCAUGAUACAGUGUGAAAAACUCCGGUGGUACAGGAUGGACCCGCGUCUGAUUAGCUGGUUGGCGGGGUAACGGCCCACCAAGGCGACGAUCAGUAGCCGGCCUGAGAGGGUGAACGGCCACAUUGGGACUGAGACACGGCCCAAACUCCUACGGGAGGCAGCAG